RNAcentral lists this ribosomal RNA (542 nucleotides) under Toxicochlespira pagoda. RNAcentral describes it as "partial 12S ribosomal RNA". The record is from RNAcentral. Lineage: Eukaryota; Metazoa; Mollusca; Gastropoda; Neogastropoda; Conidae.
GACCAAGAAACUAAGUUAUAUUUUUUAGUCAAAAGAUAGUUAGAUAAACAAUAAGUCUUAAGAUUAUUUAUAAAGAGGUAAAAUUCAAUUAUAAAUUUUAAUUUUUUUGAAGACUAAUGACAUUGAAUCUAUGAUAUCUUAGAAAUAAACUGGGAUUUGAUACCCCAUUAUUCUUAGACGUAAACUAAAAUUUUAUUUUACUAGAGUACUACGAACAUAAUGUUUAAAACUCAAAGAGCUUGGCGGUGCUUUAGACCUCUCAGGGGAACCUGUCUCGUAAUCGACAAUCCACGAUAUACCUAACCUUUUUUUGUUUUCAGCCUGUAUACCGUUGUCGUCAGUUAGCUUCUCAAAAAAUUAAAGCUAGCUAGAUAAGUUAAUUAGUUUAAACGUCAAAUCAAGGUGCAGCCAAUAAAAAGGUGAAGAUGGGUUACAAUUAUAAAUUUAUAAUUAUGAAUAGUUAAAGGAAAAUUUAAAAUGAAGGAGGACUUGAAAGUAAAAUUUUAAUAUAUAAAUUAUUUGAAUAAGGCUCUGAAGCGUGC